GUGAAAAAUAAGAGCAGAAAUACUUUCUUCAUGGCAGAAAAAGAAAGUGCUCAAAGGCUUUCUUCAUACUGAAAGGUCUAGCAGAAGGGUACAAAAGAGUAGAAGUUACCCAUACUGAAAUCGCAGCUGCCCACUACAGUGGACCUGACAGUCAGCUGUUGGUUCAACACAUCCGCAGCCCUUAUGAAAUAGGAUUGCAGAUCUUACAAAUGGAUCCCAGACUUAAUCUUCCAAGCUCUGCAUCUCUCUGCUCCCCAUCCAAACAAGCAAGACAAAUGUUCACAGUCCAAGGACACAUUCCAGCCAGGCAAAAGCAUCUGUGGAGAGUGCGGAACAAGGCUGCAUUUUAUCCCAUCUUUUGUGGUCAAGCUAUCAAGAUAUGUUUUGGAUUCCCAUAAUUUAAUCAUUGGCCGGCAAGAAAAUAAUCACUUGAAGGAGGGACUUCCAUUAUAAGAUGAUCACAGAUGAUUUCUAGCUAUUCUGAGACAGGUUUCUAGGUGCUGCUUGUUAGAGAUGGAUGAGCUAUGAAAAAGACAC
Molecule: long non-coding RNA, 537 nt
Organism: Rhineura floridana
Lineage: Eukaryota; Metazoa; Chordata; Lepidosauria; Squamata; Rhineuridae
Exons: 4
Source: RefSeq, a predicted model, not a curated record